UGGGCUCGGUGUAUGAUAUGUGUAUGUAUAUAUAUAUAUAUAUAUAUAUAUAUAUAUAUAUAUAUAUAUAUAUAUAUAUAUAUAAUUUUCGCACGGUCACACCACCAUCAGCUGGGGUUUCCCGAGGUCAGAGAAUAGCUAUCGAUUAACCUAUUAGGAUAGUUGCAGAGAAAUAAAAAGGACGUAAAAUAACAGGGAACCUAUAAACAAAGACGCCAUAACUGGCUGUUGGAGUUGUUAAACGACUUAGCACAGAAAAAGUCGAAAAUGAGCUGGAAAUGGAGCAGGCAUUGGCAGCGGCCUUGGUAUAGACAAACUCUCCAAGAUUUAACUUCUGUAGAAACCUGCACCAAAGAAGACGCGAGGAUGUGUCCAGCGCACGUGAAGUCCAAGGAAUGUCAGCUAUGUUGAUCUCGGUGUUACACCUGACCCUAACGCGUGCCUGAGUUGAUUUCUGCAGCUGCACCAUUUAUGACCCGCUGGCUCAAAAAAAAAAAAAAAAA
RNAcentral lists this long non-coding RNA (503 nucleotides) under Rattus norvegicus (Norway rat). Its description in RNAcentral is "long non-coding RNA NONRATT023412". Lineage: Eukaryota; Metazoa; Chordata; Mammalia; Rodentia; Muridae. The record is from RNAcentral.